Molecule: ribosomal RNA, 465 nt
Filed under: uncultured bacterium
Lineage: Bacteria
Description: partial 16S ribosomal RNA
Rfam family: Bacterial small subunit ribosomal RNA
Source: RNAcentral
GACGAACGCUGGCGGCGUGCUUAACACAUGCAAGUCGAACGGAAAGGCCCCUUUGGGGGUACUCGAGUGGCGAACGGGUGAGUAACACGUGCGUAACCUGCCCUUGACUUCGGGAUAACUUCAGGAAACUGGGGCUAAUACCGGAUAGGAAUCCUUGCUGCAUGGUGGGGGUUGGAAAGCUUCGGCGGGUUUGGAUGGACUCGCGGCUUAUCAGCUUGUUGGUGGGGUAGUGGCUUACCAAGGCUUUGACGGGUAGCCGGCCAGAGAGGGCGACCGGCGACAUUGGGACUGAGAGACGGCACAGACUCCUACGGGAGGCAGCAGGGGGGAAGAUUGCACAAUGGGCGGAAGCCGGAUGCAGCAACGCCGCGUGCGGGAUGACGGUCUUCGGGUUGUAAACCGCUUUCAGCAGGGGCGAAGCUUGUGGUGACGGUACCUGCAGAAGAAGCACCGGCUAACUACGUG